RNAcentral lists this ribosomal RNA (478 nucleotides) under uncultured bacterium. Its description in RNAcentral is "partial 16S ribosomal RNA". It matches the Rfam family "Bacterial small subunit ribosomal RNA", at positions 28 to 523 of the family's 1533-position model. The record is from RNAcentral.
GACGAACGCUGGCGGCGUGCUUAACACAUGCAAGUCGAACGGUAAGGCCCUUCGGGGUACACGAGUGGCGAACGGGUGAGUAACACGUGGGUGAUCUGCCCUGCACUUCGGGAUAAGCCUGGGAAACUGGGUCUAAUACCGGAUAGGACUCCGGACUGCAUGGUCUGGGGUGGAAAGCUUUUGCGGUGUGGGAUGGGCCCGCGGCCUAUCAGCUUGUUGGUGGGGUGAUGGCCUACCAAGGCGACGAGGGGUAGCCGGCCUGAGAGGGUGACCGGUCACACUGGGACUGAGAUACGGCCCAGACUCCUACGGGAGGCAGCAGUGGGGAAUAUUGCACAAUGGGCGCAAGCCUGAUGCAGCGACGCCGCGUGAGGGAUGACGGCCUUCGGGUUGUAAACCUCUUUCAGUAGGGACGAAGCGCAAGUGACGGUACCUACAGAAGAAGGACCGGCCAACUACGUGCCAGCAGCCGCGGUAA